This 71-nucleotide transfer RNA is filed under the name Camelus bactrianus (Bactrian camel). It matches the Rfam family "tRNA". From Rfam's summary of the family: Transfer RNA (tRNA) molecules are approximately 80 nucleotides in length. Their secondary structure includes four short double-helical elements and three loops (D, anti-codon, and T loops). Further hydrogen bonds mediate the characteristic L-shaped molecular structure. tRNAs have two regions of fundamental functional importance: the anti-codon, which is responsible for specific mRNA codon recognition, and the 3' end, to which the tRNAs corresponding amino acid is attached (by aminoacyl-tRNA synthetases). tRNAs cope with the degeneracy of the genetic code in two manners: having more than one tRNA (with a specific anti-codon) for a particular amino acid; and 'wobble' base-pairing, i.e. permitting non-standard base-pairing at the 3rd anti-codon position. RNAcentral also lists the same sequence under 2 other names. Lineage: Eukaryota; Metazoa; Chordata; Mammalia; Artiodactyla; Camelidae. The record is from Rfam by way of RNAcentral.
GGGUGUAGCUCAAGUGGCAGAGCCCGUGCUUAGCAAGCACAAGGUCCUGGGUUCAAUCCCCGGUAUGUCCU